UGGGGUGUAGCCAAGUGGUAAGGCAGUGGGCUUUGAAUCCAUCACUCGAAGGUUCGAAUCCUUCCGCCUCAG
RNAcentral lists this transfer RNA (72 nucleotides) under Volvocales sp. NrCl902. Its description in RNAcentral is "tRNA-Gln". It matches the Rfam family "tRNA". From Rfam's summary of the family: Transfer RNA (tRNA) molecules are approximately 80 nucleotides in length. Their secondary structure includes four short double-helical elements and three loops (D, anti-codon, and T loops). The record is from RNAcentral. Lineage: Eukaryota; Viridiplantae; Chlorophyta; Chlorophyceae; Chlamydomonadales.